CACGCCGUAAACGAUGUGCACUAGAUCGAGGUGGCUCUCACGCCUUCUCGGUCGAAGGAAAACUGAUAAGUGCACCGCCUGGGGAGUACGGUCGCAAGGCUAAAACUCAAAGGAAUUGACGGGGGCUCACACAAGCGGUGGAGCAUGUUGCUUAAUUCGAGGCAACGCGAAGAACCUUACCUGGGCUUGACAUGCACGGAUUAACCUUUCGAAAGAUUGGCCACGCCUUCGGGUGGAACGUGCACAGGUGU
Molecule: ribosomal RNA, 251 nt
Filed under: uncultured bacterium
Lineage: Bacteria
Description: partial 16S ribosomal RNA
Rfam family: Bacterial small subunit ribosomal RNA
Source: RNAcentral